CUCUUCGGCGUCCUGCCGGGCGAGCACCGCUCUCCUAAAGCGGGUGUCGCAGGUUCGAAUCCUGCCGGGGGCAC
Molecule: transfer RNA, 74 nt
Filed under: Streptomyces purpureus
Lineage: Bacteria; Bacillati; Actinomycetota; Actinomycetes; Kitasatosporales; Streptomycetaceae
Description: tRNA-Arg
Rfam family: tRNA
About the family: Transfer RNA (tRNA) molecules are approximately 80 nucleotides in length.
Source: RNAcentral